RNAcentral lists this ribosomal RNA (423 nucleotides) under uncultured prokaryote. RNAcentral describes it as "bacterial SSU rRNA". It matches the Rfam family "Bacterial small subunit ribosomal RNA", at positions 355 to 796 of the family's 1533-position model. The record is from RNAcentral.
UGGGGAAUCUUGGACAAUGGGGGCAACCCUGAUCCAGCGACGCCGCGUGGGUGGUAAGGCCUUCGGGUUGUAAAGCUCUUUCAGCGGGGAAGAUAAUGACGGUACCCGCAGAAGAAGCCCCGGCUAACUUCGUGCCAGCAGCCGCGGUAAUACGAAGGGGGCUAGCGUUGUUCGGAUUUACUGGGCGUAAAGCGCGCGUAGGCGGAUUGUUAAGUCAGGGGUGAAAUGCCGAGGCUCAACCUCGGAACUGCCCUUGAUACUGGCAAUCUGGAGUUCGGGAGAGGUGAGUGGAAUUCCGAGUGUAGAGGUGAAAUUCGUAGAUAUUCGGAGGAACACCAGAAGCGAAGGCGGCUCACUGGCCCGAUACUGACGCUGAGGCGCGAAAGCGUGGGGAGCAAACAGGAUUAGAUACCCGCGUAGUCC